GGCGAGAAAAUCUGAGAUAUUACUGUGAUAAUAAGUCACCGUAAAUAGUUUUAAAUAUCAAAACUCAUUUUUCCCCCUUAUUUCUUUCUUCCCCACGCCCGAUACCCGCUCUCCAUUUCGCCGUCCCCCCCAGCCGAAACUCCACAGCUUACCUCCCAACCAGGGCACGCCACCAAUGUCGACGGCUCCACCUCCACCACCGCCUCACUCUGCUGACCGUCCCCUACUCAGUCUCCAAUUGUAAGCUCUCUCUAUCUCUACCCUUCGGUCUCUCCUCUCUCAAAUUGAAGGUAAGAGAUCCCCUGUACUUACUCUACACAGUUCGUCUCCCUCUCUUUUUAAAAUGUAUUUGUUUUCUAUUUCCAAACCUUUUAAACUUGCAGGUUUUGUUUAGUACGGUAGAAAGAAAUGCUUUUAUUUACAUUUAACUCACUACUUUGGUGUUAAUUUGAUGUUUACACCUUUUAUGAAUUGGACGUGCUGCUCUAUCUGAAGAUGCACUCUACUUGUUUGUUCAAAGUUUGAAAAGAAUGCAAUUAGACAGAUUCUUUAUGGGUGAUUUGCACUUGAGCUCAAAAUGAGUUAAGUUGCAACCAUAAAGUGCAUGAAUAAAGUACCUCACUUGAGUUAAAAUCUUGUAAAAGAUUCAGCUUUUAUCACUCGCAUAUGUUGAUCGAUUAAUAUAUUGAAAUGUUUAAUUUUUUUUUUCAAUAAGUAUAUGCAUGUAUUUAUUUGUUGUAAACUUUAUACCAUGUAAAAAUAUUAGACUUCAUUUAAUUAUCUUAUGUGUAGUAAAUGGGAAACCGGGCCAACUUGGACUCACUUUAGCUAUUGAAUGUCUGGCAGUAUAAUGGGCUAUUUAAGUUCGACUAUGUUUCUUUUAUAACUUUCAUUGAAGUUCACUAUGCUUUUUUACUUGGUCGAUUCAAAGAUUUUUGGUUUACCGUGGAUAGCUUUCAAACCUCCUAUGCUUUUCUUUCCAUGUUUUAGAAGCAUUAAUUCUUGGGUAAGUGGAGAGUCUAAAUGCAAC
This is a long non-coding RNA of Juglans microcarpa x Juglans regia, 1030 nucleotides long. RefSeq lists it as uncharacterized. The transcript has 2 exons. The record is from RefSeq and is a predicted model, not a curated record. Lineage: Eukaryota; Viridiplantae; Streptophyta; Magnoliopsida; Fagales; Juglandaceae.